GUGCCAGCAGCCGCGGUAAUACGAGUGCCUCAAGCGUUAUCCGGAAUCAUUGGGCGUAAAGGGUGUGUAGGUGGUCAUAUUAGUCUCCUGUUAAAUUUCCCGGCUUAACCGGGAACAUGCAGGGGAAACGGUAUGACUAGAGGAUGCAAGGGGUCUGCGGAACUCAUAGUGUAGCGGUGAAAUGCGUUGAUAUUAUGGGGAACACCAAAAGCGAAGGCAGCAGACUAGGGCACUCCUGACAUUGAAACACGAAAGCGUGGGUAGCGAAUGGGAUUAGAUACCCCAGUAGUCC
Molecule: ribosomal RNA, 292 nt
Filed under: uncultured bacterium
Lineage: Bacteria
Description: partial 16S ribosomal RNA
Rfam family: Bacterial small subunit ribosomal RNA
Source: RNAcentral